Molecule: transfer RNA, 136 nt
Filed under: Endocarpon pusillum
Lineage: Eukaryota; Fungi; Ascomycota; Eurotiomycetes; Verrucariales; Verrucariaceae
Description: tRNA-Und (NNN) (tRNA-Und-NNN-1-1)
Rfam family: tRNA
About the family: Transfer RNA (tRNA) molecules are approximately 80 nucleotides in length. Their secondary structure includes four short double-helical elements and three loops (D, anti-codon, and T loops).
Source: RNAcentral
GCCCGGCUAGCUCAACCGGUAGAGCGUGAGGUAAAUUGCCUUUAAGUCCGACACCUGUUCUCUACUAACCACUCCCAGACUCUUAGCAACAUUAAAGUUCAUCUCAAGGUUGUGGGUUCGAUCCCCACGUCGGGCU